GAUGAAGAACGUAGCGAAAUGCGAUAAGUAAUGUGAAUUGCAGAAUUCAGUGAAUCAUCGAAUCUUUGAACGCACCUUGCGCCCUUUGGCCAUUCCGAAGGGCAUGCCUGUUUGAGUAUCAUGAACACCUCAACUCUUCAUGGUUUUCCAUGAUGAGCUUGGACUUUGGGGGUCUUGCUGGCCUGUGGGUCGACUCCUCUCAAAUGAAUCAGCUUGCCGGUUUUUGGUGGGCAUCACAGGUGUGAUAACUAUCUACGCUUGUGGUUUUCCACCAGGGUAACCUUCAGCAGUGGAGGUUCACUGGAGCUUACAAAUGUCUCUCCUCUGUGAGGACAGCCCUUUGAAUGUUUGAUCUCAAAUCAGGUAGGACUACCCGCUGAACUUAAGCAUAUCAAUAAGCGGAGGA
RNAcentral lists this unclassified non-coding RNA (406 nucleotides) under soil metagenome. RNAcentral describes it as "partial contains 5.8S ribosomal RNA, internal transcribed spacer 2, and large subunit ribosomal RNA". The stretch from base 1 to 121 matches the Rfam family "5.8S ribosomal RNA", at positions 35 to 154 of the family's 154-position model. The record is from RNAcentral.